AAUCAACGCUGGCGGCGUGCCUCAGACAUGCAAGUCGAACGCGAAAGGCUCCUUCGGGGGCCGAGUAGAGUGGCGCACGGGUGAGUAACACGUAGGUAAUUUGCCUUUGGGUGGGGAAUAACUCGGGGAAACUUGAGCUAAUACCGCAUAAUGCAGCGGCUCGACAUCGAGACAGUUGUUAAAGCGGGGGAUCGCAAGACCUCGCGCCUGAAGAGAAGCCUGCGGCAGAUUAGCUAGUUGGUAGGGUAAUGGCCUACCAAGGCGACGAUCUGUAACCGGCCUGAGAGGGCGGUCGGUCACACUGACACUGACAUACGGGUCAGACUCCUACGGGAGGCAGCAGUCGGGAAUUUUGGGCAAUGGGCGCAAGCCUGACCAGCAACGCCGCGUGAAGGAUAGAAAUCCCUCGGGAUAGU
This 416-nucleotide ribosomal RNA is filed under the name uncultured bacterium. RNAcentral's name for it is "bacterial SSU rRNA". It matches the Rfam family "Bacterial small subunit ribosomal RNA", at positions 32 to 427 of the family's 1533-position model. The record is from RNAcentral.